RNAcentral lists this ribosomal RNA (253 nucleotides) under uncultured bacterium. RNAcentral describes it as "partial 16S ribosomal RNA". It matches the Rfam family "Bacterial small subunit ribosomal RNA", at positions 524 to 776 of the family's 1533-position model. The record is from RNAcentral.
UACGAGGGGUGCAAGCGUUGCUCGGAAUUAUUGGGCGUAAAGGGUAGGUAGGUGGUCUCAUUUGUCUGAGGUGAAAGCCUUGAGCUCAACUCAAGAAGUGCCUCGGAAACGGUGAGACUAGAGUCCUGGAGAGGGUCGUGGAAUUCCCAGUGUAGCGGUGAAAUGCGUAGAGAUUGGGAGGAACACCAGAGGCGAAGGCGGCGACCUGGACAGGCACUGACACUCAACUACGAAAGCGUGGGGAGCAAACAGG